Molecule: long non-coding RNA, 842 nt
Filed under: Pongo abelii (Sumatran orangutan)
Lineage: Eukaryota; Metazoa; Chordata; Mammalia; Primates; Hominidae
Description: lincRNA
Source: RNAcentral
AGGAAGACCCUGGCCUCCAUCUUGAAAACGGAAAAUAAAAACAGCAGACCUAUGAAGGUCAAAGGGGAAGUUAAGAAAAGCUGUAUCGAUUGUUGAGAUCUGGCGACUUGCUUAAAUUUCAUCAGCCUCACUUCUAUGGACUCUCAGAGUCCUCGUAAGAACUUCCAUUUUAUGUUCUUAUCUUCUCAUCAGUUUGAGUUAUGUCUUUAACAUUGGAGAGAAAAACAACUUGCAAGAUUUUCUUUCAGUAUGAACCAUUCUGAGGUCCUUCAAUUCUUUAGCUGAUUACCAACUCCUACCACUGUUAACCCUCAUCCAGGAACAAGCUUAUGUCUUUAACAUUCUGAGUGGGCUUCAGCAUCCUUGCAUAUGUUCAAUUCUUAAAAACCUGUUGAAAUAAAAGAUCAGGAGACAUAGGAGGGAUGCCAGAAGACAGCGUGGCCUCACGUGUACCAGCUCUCUGCUCUCCUUUGCCUUGGGACGUUCCAUCCCUGGAAGUUUCCCUGCCCACAUCUUUGUAGAGAGUCCAUUCUCCAAGCUUCAGUGUGUCAUCUGUUAGGACUAUGACCCACCUGGUACAUUACCUCAGGGCAUUCAUUUCAGGCUCCUUCUAAGUGGUCAAGAGAAAACACCAACAUUUUUGUAAUGGCCUGCAAGGCCUUCCAAGAUCUGCCUCCUGCAACUCAGCUUCUCCUGUGCUCUUCUUCUGGACUCACUCUGCCUCAGCAACGCUGGUCCCUGUUGCCCCACCAAUAUGCCAGGUAAACCUCAGGUUCUCCUCCUGCCUUUUGCUAAGUAUAUGUCUUGAUGACAAGCCUUCUGCUAAUGAGCUGUGUUUCUGG